RNAcentral lists this ribosomal RNA (467 nucleotides) under Dendrobaena octaedra. RNAcentral describes it as "partial 16S ribosomal RNA". It matches the Rfam family "Bacterial large subunit ribosomal RNA", at positions 1850 to 2601 of the family's 2925-position model. The record is from RNAcentral. Lineage: Eukaryota; Metazoa; Annelida; Clitellata; Crassiclitellata; Lumbricidae.
AAGUAACUCCCUGCCCAGUGAAUUUCAUUUUUAACGGCCGCGGUAUCCUAACCGUGCAAAGGUAGCAUAAUCAUUUGCCCAUUAAUUGUGGGCUAGAAUGAAAGGAAUAACGAAAUAACAGCUGUCUCUAUAAAUUAAACAAAAAUUAUCAUCUAACUGAAGAUUGUUAGAUAAAAUUGAAGGACAAGAAGACCCUAUAGAGCUUUAUUUUAAUUUGUCACACAUUACAUAUAUAAAUUCGGUUGGGGCGACCAGGGAACAAUUAUCAUCCCUAUAACCAAGAUUUAUUAAUCUAUUUAUAUGACCCUUCUAAGAUCUAAAAAACAAGCUACCUUAGGGAUAACAGGCUAAUCCUACUUAAGAGUCCUUAUCUAUAGUAGGGAUUGGCACCUCGAUGUUGGCUUAGGGAAUCUAUAUAACGCAAAAGCUAUAUAAAGAUGGUUUGUUCAACCAAUAACACCCUACGU